This 464-nucleotide ribosomal RNA is filed under the name uncultured bacterium. RNAcentral's name for it is "partial 16S ribosomal RNA". It matches the Rfam family "Bacterial small subunit ribosomal RNA", at positions 28 to 507 of the family's 1533-position model. The record is from RNAcentral.
GACGAACGCUGGCGGCGUGCUUAACACAUGCAAGUCGAACGGAAAGGCCCUGCUUGCAGGGUACUCGAGUGGCGAACGGGUGAGUAACACGUGGGUGAUCUGCCCUGCACUUCGGGAUAAGCCUGGGAAACUGGGUCUAAUACCGGAUAGGAGCCAUUUUUAGUGUGAUGGUUGGAAAGUUUUUUCGGUGUAGGAUGAGCUCGCGGCCUAUCAGCUUGUUGGUGGGGUAAUGGCCUACCAAGGCGGCGGCGGGUAGCCGGCCUGAGAGGGUGGACGGCCACAUUGGGACUGAGAUACGGCCCAGACUCCUACGGGAGGCAGCAGUGGGGAAUAUUGCACAAUGGGCGCAAGCCUGAUGCAGCGACGCCGCGUGGGGGAUGACGGCCUUCGGGUUGUAAACUCCUUUCGCUAGGGACGAAGCUUUUGUGACGGUACCUAGAUAAGAAGCACCGGCUAACUACGUG